RNAcentral lists this ribosomal RNA (1380 nucleotides) under uncultured bacterium. Its description in RNAcentral is "16S ribosomal RNA". It matches the Rfam family "Bacterial small subunit ribosomal RNA". The record is from RNAcentral.
UUCGCCCUUAGAGUUUGAUCCUGGCUCAGGACGAACGCUGGCGGCGUGCCUAACACAUGCAAGUCGAACGGACGAGGCCCUUCGGGGCCGAGUUAGUGGCGAACGGGUGAGUAACGCGUGAACAACCUGCCUCUUUGAGGGGGAUAACACCUGGAAACAAGUGCUAAUACCGCAUAAGACCACAUUACCGCAUGGUAAAGGGGUCAAAGGAGAAAUCCGCAGAGAGAGGGGUUCGCGUCCCAUUAGCUAGUUGGCGGGGCAACGGCCCACCAAGGCGACGAUGGGUAGCCGAGCUGAGAGGCUGAUCGGCCACACUGGAACUGAGACACGGUCCAGACUCCUACGGGAGGCAGCAGUGGGGAAUAUUGGGCAAUGGGCGAAAGCCUGACCCAGCAACGCCGCGUGAGGGAAGAAGGCCUUCGGGUUGUAAACCUCUGUCCUUAGUGACGAAGGAAGUGACGGUAGCUAAGGAGGAAGCCCCGGCUAACUACGUGCCAGCAGCCGCGGUAAUACGUAGGGGGCGAGCGUUGUCCGGAAUUACUGGGCGUAAAGGGUGCGUAGGCGGUACUUUAAGUUGGAUGUGAAAUCCCCGGGCUUAACCUGGGGCCUGCAUCCAAUACUGGAGAACUAGAGUGCAGGAGAGGGAAGCGGAAUUCCUAGUGUAGCGGUGAAAUGCAUAGAUAUUAGGAAGAACACCAGUGGCGAAAGCGGCUUUCUGGACUGUAACCGACGCUCAGGCGCGAAAGCGUGGGGAGCGAACAGGAUUAGAUACCCUGGUAGUCCACGCCGUAAACGAUGAACGCUAGGCUUUGGGAGUAUUAUUUCAGAGCCGCAGCCAACGCGGUAAGCGUUCCGCCUGGGGAGUACGGCCGCAAGGCUGAAACUCAAAGGAAUUGACGGGGACCCGCACAAGCAGCGGAGCAUGUGGUUUAAUUCGAAGCAACGCGAAGAACCUUACCAGGCCUUGACAUAAGGGGGAAGAGGCGCGAGAGCGUUUUGUCCAUUAGGACUCCCUUACAGGUGGUGCAUGGUUGUCGUCAGCUCGUGUCGUGAGAUGUUGGGUUCAGUCCCGCAACGAGCGCAACCCCUGUUUCUGGUUGCCAGCGGUUAGGCCGGGCACUCCAGGGAGACCGCCGCAGUCAAUGCGGAGGAAGGCGGGGACGACGUCAAAUCAUCAUGCCCCUUACGGCCUGGGCUACACACGUGCUACAAUGGCCGGUCCAGAGGGAGGCGAAGGAGCGAUCCUGGGCGAAUCCCGAAAGCCGGUCCCAGUUCGGAUUGCAGGCUGCAACCCGCCUGCAUGAAGCCGGAGUUGCUAGUAAUCGCGGAUCAGCAUGCCGCGGUGAAUGCGUUCCCGGGUCUUGUACUAACCGCCCGUCA